RNAcentral lists this ribosomal RNA (773 nucleotides) under uncultured Neocallimastigales. RNAcentral describes it as "partial large subunit ribosomal RNA". It matches the Rfam family "Eukaryotic large subunit ribosomal RNA", at positions 24 to 643 of the family's 3401-position model. The record is from RNAcentral. Lineage: Eukaryota; Fungi; Neocallimastigomycota; Neocallimastigomycetes; Neocallimastigales.
UAUCUCUGUAGAGUCUGCAUAUCAAUAAGCGGAGGAAAAGAAACUAACAAGGAUUCCCUUAGUAACGGCGAGUGAAGCGGGAAGAGCUCAAAUUUGAAAUCUUCAAGGUUCUACCUUGACGAAUUGUAGUUUAAAGAAGUGUUUUCUGUUAGAUGAGUAGCAAAAGUUCCUUGGAAUGGGACAUCAUAGAGGGUGAGAAUCCCGUAUUUGGUUAUUCAUUCUAGCUUUGUGAUACACUUUCAAAGAGUCGGAUUGUUUGGGAAUGCAGUCCAAAAUGGGUGGUAAAUUUCAUCUAAAGCUAAAUAUUGGCGAGAGACCGAUAGCGAACAAGUACCGUGAGGGAAAGAUGAAAAGAACUUUGAAAAGAGAGUUAAACAGUACGUGAAAUUGUCAAAAGGGAAGCGUUUGACACCAGUGUUGUUUUUCCGAAAAUCAAUUACGAAUGGCUUGAUUUUGUGUUGUAUUGACCUUAUCAGCUUUCUGCACUUUUUUCGAGUCUUUCUUAAUGCACUUUUCGGUUAACAAGUCAACAUCAAUUUCUUUUGUUGUAAAAGAGUAUUCGGAAGGUGGCUUUCUUUUCGGAGAAAGUGUUUAUAGCCCUAUACUUCUACAAUCGGAGAGAUUGAGGUCUGCAGCGUAGAUCCUUCGGGGUUAGAUACACUUGUGCUAAGUUGUAGCUUUUCAUAGACAACUUGUUGACUAUGUUUAGUCAUGCGGCUUACUCGCUUGUGCUAUUUUACCUACGCUUAGGAUGUUGACUGAUAUGUAGUCGU